AGUGAACGCUGGCGGUAGGCCUAACACAUGCAAGUCGAACGGCAGCACAGUAAGAGCUUGCUCUUACGGGUGGCGAGUGGCGGACGGGUGAGGAAUACAUCGGAAUCUACUUUUUCGUGGGGGAUAACGUAGGGAAACUUACGCUAAUACCGCAUACGACCUACGGGUGAAAGCAGGGGAUCUUCGGACCUUGCGCGAUUGAAUGAGCCGAUGUCGGAUUAGCUAGUUGGCGGGGUAAAGGCCCACCAAGGCGACGAUCCGUAGCUGGUCUGAGAGGAUGAUCAGCCCCACUGGAACUGAGACACGGUCCAGACUCCUACGGGAGGCAGCAGUGGGAAAUAUUGGACAAUGGGCGCAAGCCUGAUCCAGCCAUACCGCGUGGGUGAAGAAGGCCUUCGGGUUGUAAAGCCCUUUUGUUGGGAAAGAAAAGCAGCAGGUUAAUACCCCGCUGUUCUGACGGUACCCAAAGAAUAAGCACCGGCUAACUUCGU
This 491-nucleotide ribosomal RNA is filed under the name uncultured bacterium. Its description in RNAcentral is "partial 16S ribosomal RNA". It matches the Rfam family "Bacterial small subunit ribosomal RNA", at positions 29 to 506 of the family's 1533-position model. The record is from RNAcentral.